CAAUGAAGUUGCUCGAAAGCUUGCUUCUUAUACUGCACCGAAGUCGCUCCUCAAAGAGAUGCCUCGCGGUGCUGAUGAGAUGGAUGAUGGUGGGUUCAAGAAGCCGUCCAAGAUUAUUGAUCGCGAGGAUGAAUAUAGGAGGAGAAGGUUGAAUAGAGUGAUUUCACCAGAUAGGCAUGAUGCAUUUGCUGCUGGGGAGAAGACGCCGGAUCCUUCAGUGAGGACGUAUGCAGAUGUUAUGAGGGAGGAAGCGUUGAAGAGGGAAAAAGAGGAGACUCUUAAGGCAAUUGCUAAAAAGAAGAAGGAGGAAGAAGAGGCAGCAAAAGAGGGAAGGGAGACCACUGCUGCAGCAACUAAGGAGGCUGCACCCAAGAGGAGGAAUAGGUGGGACCAGUCACAGGAUGACGGGGCUGUGGCUAAAAAGGCCAAGACUGAUUCGGAUUGGGAUUUGCCAGAUGCCACGCCUGGGAUUGGAAGAUGGGAUGCUACCCCUACUCCUGGGAGACUAGGGGAUGCAACUCCUUCUGUGGGGAGGAGGAAUAGAUGGGAUGAAACGCCUACUCCUGGCAGGCUGGCAGAUUCUGAUGCUACUCCUGCUGGUGGAGUAACACCUGGCGCUACCCCAGCUGGAGUCACUUGGGAUGCAACUCCUAAAGGGCUGGUCACCCCGACCCCAAAAAGGCAGAGGUCACGUUGGGA
This 699-nucleotide unclassified non-coding RNA is filed under the name Hevea brasiliensis (rubber tree). Lineage: Eukaryota; Viridiplantae; Streptophyta; Magnoliopsida; Malpighiales; Euphorbiaceae. The record is from RNAcentral.